Molecule: transfer RNA, 65 nt
Filed under: Lamprotula gottschei
Lineage: Eukaryota; Metazoa; Mollusca; Bivalvia; Unionida; Unionidae
Description: tRNA-Arg
Source: RNAcentral
AAGAAGAAAGCUACCGUAGCAAUAUGGUUUCGACCCAUAAAGUGAAUUAAUUAAUUCUCUUCUUU